AUGGUGGGGUGCGGCUGCGACGGAGAUGAAGGAGGUUCGCCGCCUGUCUUUGUCUCCUUGCUGCGUCCUUUGUUGUCGAUCAUCCCCUCUCCCUUCGCCCCUAGCAGCGCAAUAGUCGGGGACAAGGGGAAGGAGCAGGUUGACCCGACUCCAUCUCUCUGCACGAGGACUAGAGGAGCAGGUGGCGAGGGAAGCCGACACGGCCAGCGGCGGCCCUGCACAGGGACAUCCGCCUCCGGUUUUCCGGAUAAGAUCUGGUGCGGGAGGUGUGGUAUACUGCAUAGGUGUAUAAUCUUGGCUAUGAUCUAUGCUGGAGGAUGUUGA
Molecule: ribosomal RNA, 324 nt
Filed under: Triticum aestivum (bread wheat)
Lineage: Eukaryota; Viridiplantae; Streptophyta; Magnoliopsida; Poales; Poaceae
Description: partial small subunit ribosomal RNA
Source: RNAcentral